Molecule: ribosomal RNA, 253 nt
Filed under: uncultured bacterium
Lineage: Bacteria
Description: partial 16S ribosomal RNA
Rfam family: Bacterial small subunit ribosomal RNA
Source: RNAcentral
GACAGAGGGUGCAAACGUUGUUCGGAAUUACUGGGCGUAAAGCGCGUGUAGGCGGCUUCGCAAGUCGGGUGUGAAAUCCCACGGCUCAGCCGUGGAAGUGCAUUCGAAACUGCAAGGCUAGAGUCCUGGAGAGGAAGGUGGAAUGCUUGGUGUAGAGGUGAAAUUCGUAGAUAUCAAGCGGAACACCGGUGGCGAAGGCGACCUUCUGGACAGUGACUGACGCUGAGACGCGAAAGCGUGGGGAGCAAACAGG